This 329-nucleotide ribosomal RNA is filed under the name uncultured eukaryote. Its description in RNAcentral is "partial 18S ribosomal RNA". It matches the Rfam family "Eukaryotic small subunit ribosomal RNA", at positions 1470 to 1796 of the family's 1831-position model. The record is from RNAcentral.
CCCUUAGAUGUUCUGGGCCGCACGCGCGCUACACUGAUGCAUUCAACGAGUCUAAAACCUGCUCUGAUAGGGGUGGGUAAUCUUUUGAAUGUGCAUCGUGAUUGGGAUAGAUGAUUGCAAUUUUUCAUCUUCAACGAGGAAUGCCUAGUAAACGCAAGUCAUCAGCUUGCAUUGAUUACGUCCCUGCCCUUUGUACACACCGCCCGUCGCUCCUACCGAUUGAAUGAUCCGAUGAAUAUCAUGGAUUGAGGAUGCAAGCAGGUUCGCCUGUCUUCAUCUUCGAGAAGUGAAGUAAAUCUUAUCAUUUAGAGGAAGGAGAAGUCGUAACU